CUCAGGGAUGCCUGUAAAAGUGCCAGAGGAAAAUGUGCUUCAGGUGGACGGGGAGAGCGGCGGUGAAGCCACGGAACACGGAGGCAGGCCGGGAACACCCGCAGGUCUGCGGUUUCUAUGAGCCGGAGCUGACUAAGACACGGGAGAAGGGAUGAGAGGAGGCGGUGAACUCGUCUUGCACGUGUGAAAGGCCUCUGGCUGCACAUGUGGUGCCAUCUCAGCGCGUCCUCCCCACACCUGGAGGUGACAGCACACAGGUUUUUGUGACAAGUGGAACAGGAGAGGGAAGAUGAUAACUCCGGGGAGGUCAAGCACCCACACGAGCGCUCACAGCAGGGAGAUACUAUCCCAGAUCAAGCUGAUGAGAGCUGCCACCAGAAAUGACUGCGAGCAAGCCCCAGAAACCCCAUGGGCGCUGAGUCUCAUCACCGAAGGAAAUGUUCUGCUGCAUUUUAUUUCCUCUUUGAAAUAUUUCUGUUCCAACAUCCUGAAGGGAAGAAAGACAGAAAAUAGUUCCCAGCUAAAUGCCGCAUCUUCAGAAACGUGA
This 547-nucleotide long non-coding RNA is filed under the name Bos indicus x Bos taurus (hybrid cattle). RNAcentral describes it as "lncRNA (ENSBIXG00005028648.1)". Lineage: Eukaryota; Metazoa; Chordata; Mammalia; Artiodactyla; Bovidae. The record is from RNAcentral.